This 194-nucleotide ribosomal RNA is filed under the name uncultured beta proteobacterium. RNAcentral describes it as "partial 16S ribosomal RNA". It matches the Rfam family "Bacterial small subunit ribosomal RNA", at positions 340 to 526 of the family's 1533-position model. The record is from RNAcentral. Lineage: Bacteria; Pseudomonadati; Pseudomonadota; Betaproteobacteria.
UACGGGAGGCAGCAGUGGGGAAUUUUGGACAAUGGACGCAAGCCUGAUCCAGCCAUUCCGCGUGCAGGACGAAGGCCUUCGGGUUGUAAACUGCUUUUGUACAGAACGAAAAGGUCUCUAUUAAUACUAGGGGCUCAUGACGGUACUGUAAGAAUAAGCACCGGCUAACUACGUGCCAGCAGCCGCGGUAAUAA